AGACAUACCCUUGAUAAUUUUGUUUGCUUGUUUAGGGGUGAAACUGACGAUUAGAUCGGAAAUCUAGAUUAUGUAUUCUUAUUCUGUCUUGCCCAUUUUUCAUUCAGCUGGGCUGUUCUUUUUAGGCUUCACUCUAGAAUUUAUAGUGAAAACGUUUAUAAAUUAUUUCAUAGAUUAGACAAUGUUGUAACAUUGGUACUUUGUUUUAUUUCAACUAAUUUUAUGAAUGUAACCAUUGUUUUCUUGUCUCAUCAAGUAUUCCUGCAAAACCAAAUAGCUGAAAAUGUUAAAAAUAGCACUUUGGAUCACUAGAUUGCCUUGAGCAGACCAAAACCCUAACCGAUAAUACGAUGAAGCCACCAGAUAUUAAUGGCAAAAGGGCAUUUACAAAAUAAAUGUUUUGUGGAUUCAAAACUAAUGCUACAAAGGUCACAUGUAGAAGGCAAAGAACAACCUCGCAGAGCAAGUUUUCAUCGGCUGGUUUUAUGUGCUUUAUUCUCCAAAUAGUAAGCCAAAUUAGAGGGAGGAACAUUUCUGUGCCAAAUUUGCUUGGCUCCCCAAUGUGGUUGCCCAGGAUGCUUCAGAGAGG
RNAcentral lists this long non-coding RNA (589 nucleotides) under Trifolium pratense (red clover). RNAcentral describes it as "long non-coding RNA (TPRA_LNC005127)". The record is from RNAcentral. Lineage: Eukaryota; Viridiplantae; Streptophyta; Magnoliopsida; Fabales; Fabaceae.